Molecule: ribosomal RNA, 364 nt
Filed under: uncultured bacterium
Lineage: Bacteria
Description: bacterial SSU rRNA
Rfam family: Bacterial small subunit ribosomal RNA
Source: RNAcentral
GGUAGCCGGCCUGAGAGGGNGACCGGCCACACUGGGACUGAGANACGGCCCAGACUCCUACGGGAGGCAGCAGUGGGGAAUAUUGGGCAAUGGAGGAAACUCUGACCCAGCGACGCCGCGUGCGGGAUGAAGGCCUUCGGGUUGUAAACCGCUUUCAGUAGGGAAGAAGCGAAAGUGACGGUACCUACAGAAGAAGCACCGGCUAACUAUGUGCCAGCAGCCGCGGUAAUACAUAGGGUGCAAGCGUUGUCCGGAAUUAUUGGGCGUAAAGAGCUCGUAGGUGGUUUGAUACGUCGGGUGUGAAAUUCNGGGGCUCAACCCCUGACCUGCAUUCGAUACGGNCAANCUGGAGUUUGGUAGGGGA